GGGGUAGUGGCUCAGUGGGUAGAGCACUCACCUAGCACAUGUGAGCCUCCUGGGUUCGAUCCUCAGCACCACA
Molecule: transfer RNA, 73 nt
Filed under: Marmota monax (woodchuck)
Lineage: Eukaryota; Metazoa; Chordata; Mammalia; Rodentia; Sciuridae
Description: tRNA.Ala
Source: RNAcentral